This 253-nucleotide ribosomal RNA is filed under the name uncultured bacterium. RNAcentral's name for it is "partial 16S ribosomal RNA". It matches the Rfam family "Bacterial small subunit ribosomal RNA", at positions 524 to 776 of the family's 1533-position model. The record is from RNAcentral.
UACGGGGGGGGCAAGCGUUGUUCGGAAUUACUGGGCGUAAAGGGCGCGUAGGCGGCCUGCUAAGUCGAACGUGAAAUCCCCGGGCUCAACCCGGGAACUGCGUCCGAUACUGGCAGGCUUGAAUCCGGGAGAGGGAUGUGGAAUUCCAGGUGUAGCGGUGAAAUGCGCAGAUAUCAGGAGGAACACCGGUGGCGAAGGCGGGUCUCUGGGCCGAUACUGACGCUGAGGAGCGAAAGCGUGGGGAGCGAACAGG